CCUACGGGAGGCAGCAGUGGGGAAUAUUGGACAAUGGGGGAAACCCUGAUCCAGCGACGCCGCGUGAGUGAAGAAGUAUUUCGGUAUGUAAAGCUCUAUCAGCAUGAAAGAAAAUGACCGUAACUGACUAAGAAGCCCCGGCUAACUACGUGCCAGCAGCCGCGGUAAUUCGUAGGGGGCAAGCGGUAUUCGGGUUUACUGGGUGUAAAGGGAGCGUUGACGGCGGGGCAAGUCUGAAGUGAAAUGCCGGGGCCCAACCCCGGAACUGCGCUGGAAACUGUGAAGCUGGAGUGCAGGAGAGGUAGGCGGAAUUCCUAGUGUAGCGGUGAAAUGCGUAGAUAUGAGGAGGAACACCAGCGGCGAAGGCGGCUUGCUGGACUGUAACUGACGUUGAGGCUCGAAGGCGUGGGGAGCAAACAGGAUUAGAUACCCCAGUAGUC
RNAcentral lists this ribosomal RNA (440 nucleotides) under uncultured bacterium. RNAcentral's name for it is "partial 16S ribosomal RNA". It matches the Rfam family "Bacterial small subunit ribosomal RNA", at positions 338 to 795 of the family's 1533-position model. The record is from RNAcentral.